Molecule: ribosomal RNA, 393 nt
Filed under: uncultured bacterium
Lineage: Bacteria
Description: partial 16S ribosomal RNA
Rfam family: Bacterial small subunit ribosomal RNA
Source: RNAcentral
AUACGGAGGAUGCAAGCGUUAUCCGGAUUUAUUGGGUUUAAAGGGUGCGUAGGCGGUUUGCUAAGCGGGAGGUGAAAUGCCGGCGCUCAACGUCGGAAGUGCCUCCCGAACUGGUGGACUUGAAUGACUCUGCCGUGGGAGGAAUGUGUAGUGUAGCGGUGAAAUGCUUAGAGAUUACACAGAACACCGAUUGCGAAGGCAUCUCACGAAGGGUUGAUUGACGCUGAGGCACGAAAGCGUGGGGAUCAAACAGGAUUAGAUACCCUGGUAGUCCACGCAGUAAACGAUGAUGGCUAACCGCUGGGCUUAUCAGUUCAGUGGCCAAGCGAAAGCGAUAAGCCAUCCGCCUGGGGAGUACGACCGCAAGGUUGAAACUCAAAGGAAUUGACGGGG